Molecule: long non-coding RNA, 4381 nt
Organism: Pomacea canaliculata
Lineage: Eukaryota; Metazoa; Mollusca; Gastropoda; Architaenioglossa; Ampullariidae
Exons: 9
Source: RefSeq, a predicted model, not a curated record
UGGGAACACACACAAUCGUUUCGCUAUUGUUUGAUAUACGCACUGCAGACAUCGCUAAACAGUUGCCUACCCCCCAUUCUGUUUGUUUAAAUACUCGAGCUGGCCAUUUCUCGAUUCAGCCGGCGGGUAGCUGUUUCCGCUCCAUUAUUCACCUGUAAGUUCACCGCGUGACGUCAUCAAGCAAAGGUGUGUAGUUUCGUCUGCAGACAGGUUAGAGAGGAAGUGACAAAUACUAACGGUCAUCGCUGUCUGUCCUCACUCUCCUUUAACUGUCUCUGACGACCUCAGCUCGGUAAAGUUGUCACACAAGUGUUGUUUAUCAAUUUGUGUACAGAGAAACAGCGAUAGACGUGCGUGACACAGGUGAAUGAAAUAUCGAAUACUUCGAUAAUUUCUUUGGUGAAAGCCGCCAUCGUCGUGAUCAUCAUGUUGUCAACUUGCUAUGUAGCUCUAGCUGUGCUUUUCUUGACGACCUUAAUUGGAGACCUUACUGCAGAAGAACCCAUCGCGGGAAAAAAUACCAGGUGUUGGUGCGAACAGGAGAAUGGCUGCCGAAACGCUCCUGAGACAACAGGGAGUAAUGUAGAGGUGAUUUUAGUGUCUAAAGAAAACUCAUCAACUGCAGUCUGGAAGUGGGAUAGCUUCUCUACAGUCAUCACCACUUUCAGUACCGCACAGGAAACACCCAUGAACAAAAUUGCCUGUGAAGCUCACCACAGGGGCAAGAAAUAUGGUUUCAUCAUGCCAUUGCCCAAGGUUGUUAAUAAUACCUUUUCUGAAACUGAUCAGAAAGAGGUGAUCAGCACUAUCUCUAAGAGAAGUCAGUUGUGGUAUGCAGAUAUAAUUGUGCUAGACAUGAUUGACACCCUAAAAAAACCAGGAGCGACUUAGAUAACCUGGAUAAGUUUUUAAAAAAAAUCGCGACUAGUGGGAUUGAUGGGAGAAAAGUUCAACAAAAAAUUUACUGCUUGGUGCCUUGGAUGGUUGCUUGUCAAAAUGACACCUGUCAAUCACUGAGAAAUCUUCUAACUCAUUGCUUCACUCUCAUGCUCAGUCCUGACAGCUACCUGGAUACGGCAGAUCAACAAAGAUGUGAAGCUGUACCCACCAUUCCCUUCACUGAAUUUAUUUAUGGCAUCGAACAGUAUCUUAAUCUGAACAGAAUACCACUUGUGGUCGGUAUUCCAUGGCAUGGCUAUGACUACACAUGUGAACUUUUAAAACUGCAGAUGACGCUGCCUACUGAAAAGGAAUACAGAUGGAACUUGUGACAUCACCAAGCAUCGAAAGAGAAUGAGUCUGGCAGCAAUCCAUGAGGAAAACUAUUUUGACCAAAAAAAAGUUACAACAGACCAGUUGACACAGGCAGCAUAUUUGACUUACCCGGAGAAAGAUACUAGUGUGCACCACCUAGUGUGGUUUGAAAAUGCUGACACACUGACCAUUAAGUACAAAAUCGUGAAUCUGCUUCCUGUCAAAGGUGUGUCACUGUGGAUGGCAGAGGAUCUUGCUGAUGGAUUACAACAGAAAAACUUCAAGAGGACACCAAUAUGUGGGGUUGGUUGACGCAUGUGAUGAUCCACGAAGCUGCUAUUAACCCACCACAAAUCACACACUACUUUGCAGAUACAGUGGCUGGUGCUGCUAUUGGAUGCCUGCUUUUGGGCACAGCUCUCGGUAUAACAUUUACAUGCAUUGCUUUGCGCCGGUGUAAACGUUCCCCACCUAAACGACCAUUCAAGUUGGAUGAGGCUGUUGAUGAUUUUCAUGAUGAUCCUGGCCUCUGAACAUCUACAAAUAUGUUUUUAUUGUAUUGGUUAUAUUAUUCUUGGUAUGGAAAGGAAUAGUUUAAGUUCUUUUUUAAUCGUUUAAUAUAUCAAACCUUAUCAAAGGGAUUAUAGUGUUAACAGUCAAGCUGAAGUUAUGAUAUUUAAAUGUGAAUAGUUUGUUAGUCGUACAGAGGUUUUCUACAGAUAGGUAAAUUUGGAAAGAAUAAUAAUAGUGGAAUUAUCUUGAUGGAAGAAUGGACGCAAUUAUUAGCAUGCUUUCUAGAAUUAGACAAUAGAAUGUCUUAGACAGCAUUUUGUCCUCAGCUUAUUUUUGACAUAAUAAGUCUUAAUGUUGCUUCAUGCACAAUCUGUUAGACAUAGGCAUCAUGUUUGAGUGGUGCAGUCUCGAAGCCUUAAUGGUUUAUGAAAUCCACCAUAUGCAAAGAACAAAACUUAUGUGAUACAUAGAGGUGUAUCAGUGUUGCAUGUCUAUUUUCAUUCUUGGACAAAGAAGAAUUAUGAACACCUCAAAAUGUAUUCACUGUCACAAGUGCCCUUUGUAAAUUUUUAUAAACUUCUUCAAUGGACGCAACCAGUGUAAUGUCAAAUCUCCUUUAUAGAACAUAUAUGGGUUGUGUAAAACAUUUAUGGUUUUGUAUAAACAAAUUGACCAUGAACAUCGUCAUCCAAUAUUUGCUAAGCAUUUGACCUCUCACACUUGGGGGGAAUAUAUAGAGAUAUAUGAUUGUUGUUUUGUAAAUAAUGUAUGGUAAACGAGAGAAUACAGCUUUUGAAGAACGUUGCUCUAUGUCUGAGAUUUUCGAUCAAAACUAAUUUUUCACUUUUACAUCAUCUAAGUUUUUGUAUCCAUGGUUCAAUUAAAUGUGCUGAAUACCCAUAAAUACAUUUGUGCAAACUACAGAAAGUGUUUGUAGUGGCAGGGCCCUUUGUAGUUGUGCUACCUGUGUGCAAGUAUUGCUCUUUCCUGGAUUGACACUUUUUUGGACAAUGCCUCAAUCUUUAGGACCAACUUUUCUAUCUGAACAAAAGGUAAUUCACAUUAAUACUUUUUAGAAACAAAUAUAUCCCUAAUUUUACAUUAAAAUUCUGCUCUUUUUAUAGUUUUGUUUGAAGUGACAUUAAUGUUUACUCCAACACUGCAAAGAAUGAAGGAAAACAGCAAGGAUGAUAUUCAACACCGUUGCAUGUGUUUGAACGUGCAUACAAGAAACAUUUCACGGUGUACCCUACACAAAAACAAGGAUUAGAAAAGUUCCCCGUUUUUACAGUUUAUUUACCUAGAAGAAAGUUACUACUGCUUUCUGCUUGAGAUUAAAAACGAAUAGACCUUGUAUUAUUAAAAUCUCAUGUAUAUAAACAAUCCCAAGAUGUUUACUUUCUAAAGUGCAUUUUCAUAGGUGUGGCAGCACAUUUUGUACUGAGUGUGCCAAGCUGAAAUUUUACAACAGCAAGCUUGUUGAGGCAAACAUUUGAAGAUGUCUUGUUGGCAUAUCUACCUUUCUCUGUCUGUUUAAAUGUUAUAUUUUUCACAGUAACUCUUCAUCUUUUUUCAUAGCAUAGUAUUUGAGGCAGGCGUACUUAAAACACUUUUGUGCCUUAAGUUUAAUUUAUAUUUCUGAAUUUCUUAUGUGCCUGUGAAAAUACAAUCAUUUCAAUGGCACAAAUUCUAGCAUUAUUUGGCUUAAACUUAAGUGUAGGAUUUGUGUGUGUGCAUCACGUUGGUUGUACUUUGCUUUUUUUUCACUGUGCAAAAUAUUGGGUUCCAAUCCGAGAAUCCUGAAACCAUUUAGCAGUAAAUAUAUUUUGUUACCUAUUCCAAUCUCUGAAUUUAUGAAAAUACUAAUAAAAUAUUUUUCCAAGUUUUUUGACAGCUUUUCCUUCAUGACCAGCAGUUUUACCAUUCUAUUUUUGUUGUAAUAUUUUAGGUGUGGCAAGACAUUUUGUGCUAAGUGUGCCAAGCUGAAAUUUUACAGCUGCAAGCUUAUUUGUUGAGGCAAACAUUUGAAGUCUUGUUGGCAUAUCUACCUUUCUCUGCCUGUUUAAAGGUUAUGUUUUUCACAGUAAUUCAUUAUCUCUUUCAUAGUAUUUGAGGCAGGUGUAACAUUUUUAUGCCAUAAGUUUAAUUUAUUUUUCUGAAUUUCUUAUGUGCCUGUGAAAAUACAAUCAUUUCAAUGGAACAAAUUCUAGAUUUGGCUUGAACUUUAAGUGUAGGAUUUGUGUGCUUGUGGGUGAAGUGCGCCAUGUUGGUUGCGCUUUACUUUUUUCCACCAUGCAAAAUAUUGGGUUUUAAAUUUUUAGUCAUUCCACAUUGUGUGACAAAUACAGAGGUCCAAUCUAUUUUGUUACCCAUUCCAAUCUCUCUAUUUAUACAAUAUUUUUCAAAAGCUUCUUUUUUUGUUGUAAUGUUUUCAAAAUUUAUUUGUUGUAUUUUGUAAAAAAAAAAAAAAAAAAUAAAUCCAAGAUGUAUAUUUCAAAACAAAUUAAUAUGAAUGCAUUUUGGGUUAUUUGUAAAUGAGAGAAGGCACUGUGUGCAGUUAACUCAGAAAGCAUGUAAAUGCAAAUUUUCAUUUAAUUUCAUUAAAGAAUUUAGA